Non-coding RNA from Pelobates cultripes (western spadefoot toad), 157 nucleotides. Lineage: Eukaryota; Metazoa; Chordata; Amphibia; Anura; Pelobatidae. The record is from the annotation of a GenBank genome assembly.
GUGUUGCUCCGUCCGUAUGGUAGGUAGUCCAUAUAUGUGAAGAUAAAAGAAAAAGGAAAAAGCUGCCAAUGGUGAAAUAUUGUAUUUUUUGGCAGCUUUUUCUUUUUUCUUUUAUCUUCACAUAUAUGGACUACCUACCAUACGGACGGAGCAACAC